Molecule: long non-coding RNA, 8978 nt
Filed under: Hordeum vulgare
Lineage: Eukaryota; Viridiplantae; Streptophyta; Magnoliopsida; Poales; Poaceae
Description: long non-coding RNA (HVUL_LNC011832)
Source: RNAcentral
CGUACAACUACGAUGGACGAAACUGGUUUUUCAAAAACUUUGACAGUAGCUAUUACCUUUGACACCCGAUAAUUUCUGUUCGUUUCUGGUCCGAAUCCGUAUUUCGAUAUAAUCCGCAUUCGAAUCUGGAUCCGGUCAAUACCCGCUCCGCUUCGAAUCCGAUCAAAAAAUAUGGUUAAGGAUAUGGUAGAAGCAUUAUCCGAUCCGAUCCGUUUACAUCCUAGGAGGAGGAGAUGAUGGUGGUGCAGCAGCAACGUCAGCAGAAGAGAGAGGAAAGAUUCUCAAGAGGAAUUAUGAUGAUAUGGGUUGGGCCUAUGGUCAGCUGGUUGAUCCUAACAACCUUCAGAGAGUGAGGUAUAAUUUCUGCAGUCAGAUGAGGUAUUUACCCGCUGAAGCAACACAUUGCGGCAAACUCAAAUGCAGUGAGGACCUGCUUGCGGUGCCCACAAUAAGCUAAAGAAGCUUGCUUAAAAGCUUUUGAAGAAAAGGCAACAAAGAAGCAAAAGAAGUAUGAGCACGAGAAGGCCGUGAGAGCCGCCAUAGAGCCGCCAUUUAUCUUAUAUAUGCUCAUUCUAAGACAAUAUUAUGCAUUUAUGCUUCCCGUGUGAAACACUUAACCUCAACCUCAUAUGGUAUUUCAGAUUUUCAGUUACCUAUGUGCUAUAUUUCCUAUUUUCUUAUACAUAUUAUCCAAAAACAGCCAAAUUCUUGUCAAUUAAAAAAAACCCACUUAAUCCCGGUUAAGCUGCGCUUAAGCGGCCAUUGCUCUAAGCUGUGGCCUUCCGCUUACGCUUACCGCUUAUAUUGGUGGAUAAACAAAUCUUUGAUUAAUUUCGAACAAUUUGGAUUUAGCUAGGUGAUUGUGAUCUUUAAUAAAAUUUCAUAAUGGAUUAUGAGAUUUUAGAUGGAUUUAGCUAGGUGAUUGUGAUGUUGAGAAGAUAGUCAAUGAUGUUCGAUGGAUUAUGAGAUUUUAGGUAUAAUAGGUGAACAUGCUGAUUAUUAAAUUGGUGGAUAAACAAAUCUUUAAUUAAUUAGAACAAUUUGGAUUUAGUUUGGUGAUUAUGAUUUUGAAUCAAAUUUCUCGGUGGAUUAUGAUAUUUUCGAUGGAUUUAGUUUGGUUAUUGGGAUCUUGAGGAGACAGUCAAAGAUGUGUGCUGGAUUUUGAUUUCUAUGUCUAGUAGGUGAGCAUGGUGAUUAUUAGAUUGGUGAAUAAAAAAUCCUUUAAUUGAUCUUGCACUAUUUGGGUAACUGUGAUCUUACCACUCGAGAUGAAUGUCACCCUACAGAGCCAGGAGGCUGAAUGUUCAUGAGAUACCUGGUUGUGUAAAAAGUGGUCUCUUGUUACCAGAAGAAUCGGUAGCAAAACCCGCCAAUGGAGAACCAAAAGAAGCAAACACUAAAGUUGUGUAAUCUCCGGUGUGGUUAGUGGCUCAUUUGAAAAAGUUGACAAAGAAGCACCAGACGGUCAAACUAGAAUAAGUGGGCGUUGAAGUUGUGCAAUUUUUGUUCCUCUUUGAUCCGGCUUGUCGUCCUACCCCUGUAUGCGGGUUAUGUGUCACGGACUUGAUGCAGCAUCCUACGUUCCCUUGUUCGGGUACGUUGCGGUGCCGACUGCCUUUGCUCGUGCACUACCAAUUGGUGGUGCUCGGGCGUUUUGCUAUUGCGGCACCAUCACAGGAACACGGGUUGUGGGAUCGAGACAGCACACAGAGUAACUCGUAGCCAGGCAAAGGAUGUCCAAUCGGACUGGCAUGGAGCAGAUAGUGCAUGUGGAGUGUGGUAAAAAGGGGUGAAAAUGUUGUCGGGAGCGGACUACCACAACCAUCAGCUUUUGAACAUGGAGUUGUGCAGUGAGGGAAUGAUGAUAUGGGAAGCGAGGAAGAUAGGAAGAUGGCAUUGCAGGUAGAAAGGCGUCAUUCACCCUAUGCCUUUGCAUCAGCAGUGAUGGUGAACAGUUGUGAGCAGAUCCGAUUUCUGCACGUGGAUCUACUACUCGGGAUGGCAUGACAUGGUUGUUGUGUAGUGAGGUGCCAAAAAUAGGGCGUUGUUUGGGUGAGUUUGGAGAGAUAGAAGUUGUGUUGUGCUCUAGUCUAGGCCUUCAACUGUACCAAGUGCAACUUAUUCCAAGUUUCUUUCCUCUCAAGCUUAAGCCUUUCUCUGAACCAAUCCUAAGCCCAAGAAACCGAGCCUAGCUAUUAAAGUUCUGGUAACAUGGACUUAUAUUGAUGUGCUUAAUUUAUGGAAUUAUAAGAGCACCGCUUAAGAACCGAUAACUUUUGUGUGGAAUAAAAGCCUACUUUAGAUUGUGAUUGUGUGAGUCAAUCAUGUUACAUCCUUAAGCCCCAACAUGCACCAAGUUGGCUGAAUGCCAUACGGAAGUUGUUUUCAGUAGUUAUGAUGCCAUACGGAAGUUGUUUUGAGUAGUUAUGAUUUGAAGAUGAGAUAAUCUGAUGGUGAUGUAGAAAUGAUAUUCUGGAGAUAGUUAAAGAUGUUCGGUGGAUUAUGAGAACUUAGGUCUAGUUGAGCAUGGCGAUUAUUAUAUUGGUGUAUAAACAAAUCUUUAAUUAUUCUUGGAAUUAUUUGGAAUUAGUUAGGUGAUUGUGAUCUUGAACCAAAUUUUACGGUGGAUAAAUAACUUCAAUAGUACAUAUAUAGAUCCAUAGUCGGUCAAUUUAACUUGUGGUUUAUAUUGGAUUUAGAUAGCCACGAAAUUUGAGUUUACUUCAAUCAUGGUUAUGAUGUUGGUGGGUUACUUUGUGUUAAGUUCGCACCUUUGGAGAUUGAAGUUGAAGAAAUAUAGGGUGUAGUAUGAACAACAUUGUAUAUACCGGAUUUAUAUAGGUUAGAUGAUAGUUAGCACCAUCAAUCAUGAUUAUGAAAAUUUGUGGAUUAUUAAAGCAUCUGUAAUUGGAUUAGUAGUAUAAGGAAAUAAGGAUCUUGGAGUAACACAACUUGUGUUUCCUUUAGGUCAGAAUGAGAGUUAGCUGCAUCAAUCAUGACUACGAAAAUUGGUGGAUUAUUGGAGCGCGUGGGAUUGAGGUAGUUACUUGGAUUUUAGGACUAAGAUAACUUGGGGGCACUCAGAUUUCUUUUUUUCUAGAAAGCGCAAAAGACUUUUGCGGUUCAUUGUAUUGAAAAGAAGGGGUUUAGUACAAUCCUCCUAGGAGGCAUAUUUACAAGGUGAACACAUGCACACUAGUGGACGUCCCAUGUUUGUGGCAAGAUGGCCUGGAGCCCCAAGGCGCCCGCUCUGGCCCAGAGGCCGGCCUCUUCCUUAAUCGUAGCCGCCAGGGAGGUAGCCGACGGUGUGGCACCCUCAAACACGCAUCCGUUGCGAUGCUUCCAAAUCAUCCAAGGGACGAGCAAAGCAACAGAAGCCAAUCCCUUGUGCAUAGGCUUAGGGGUGUCGUGCCGUGCAGACACCACCAGUCGUGUAGAGUGGCCUCGUUGUUGGGCAACGGGCAAGAGAGGCGCAACCAUGAGAGGAUCUCGUGCCACACUUCGCGGCUGAAAGGGCAUUCCAGGAGAAGAUGAUGAAUAGUCUCCGGAGCCUGAUCGCAAAGAGGGCAGCACUGUGGGUGUGGCAGGUUGCGCCUCGCGAGGCGGUCGGCCGUCCAGCACCUAUCAAGGUUGGCAAGCCAGUGGAAGAAGCGCACCCGAGGCGGUGCCCAGCACUUCCAGGUAAGUUUCCAAGCCUGACAUCUCGCGGAGCCGUGGAAAGUGGCGAGGUAUGCGGACUUGGCGGAGUACUCGCCGUUCGCGGUCCACUUCCAGCGAAUGUUGUCUGGUGCGUCAGUGAGGACGGUUUCGGCGAUCGCGUGCCAGAGGCGCAGGUAUUCUCCAAUCUCCAGGAUGCCAAUCAUGCCGUGGAUGUCCGCGGCCCAUUGGUUCUCGUGAAGGCCGUCCGCAACAGUUCUUGACUUGCGACGCCGUUUGGGGAUGAGAUCAAAAAGGAGAGGCGCGAUCUCUCGGAUUGCACGCCCGUUGAUCCAUCGGUCCUCCCAGAACAGGGCGCGCUGGCCAUUGCCGAUAGCCAUGGUGGUAGAGGCGAAGAAGAGCGCGCGCUCCUCGGGCGCGAAGUGCAGGUCUAGGCCGCUCCAGGCCCUGCCAACAUCGACUCGGCUGAGCCACUGCCAUCGCAUGCGAAGGGCGAGGCCAGUGCGCUCGAGGUCGUGGACGCCGAGGCCCCCAAACUGGAUAGGCCGGCAGACGCGCCGCCAGUUGACAUGACAAUUGCCGCCGUGGGCCUCGGCGUGGCCAGCCCAGAGAAAUCCUCGCUCGAUCUUCUCCAGGAGUUUGAUGGUUUUUGGCGGCGCAAGCACGAGGAGCUGAUGAAUGGGAAUCGCGCUCAAGACAGCCUUGGCGAAGGCAAGGCGGCCGGCUUUGUUCAUAAGCCAGGCCUUCCAGGAGGGCAGCUUCCCAGCGACCUUAUCGACGACGGGUUGCAGUUGGGCAGCCGUGGGGCGACGCAGUGUGAGCGGGAUGCCCAAGUAAGUAAGCGGGAAGUCGACGAUGGGGCAGCCCAGGUGCGCGACAAUAUGAGCAGCGUCCUUGGUGUCGCAGCGGAUGAGGGCCGCAACGCUCUUCUGGAAGUUCACGUGCAGGCCCGAGGCGCGCCCAAAGAGCUGCAGAAUCUCCUUCACCGCCGCGAUAUCGUCCGGCGACGGGUGGCACAGAAGAAUUACGUCGUCGGCGUAGAGGGAUAUGGCGGGGAUGGCGCGGCGCGGAUGCAGCUGCUGCAUGACUCGGAGCUCGACCGCGCGAUGGAAGAGCCUGCCCAGCGUAUCCACGGCAAGGACGAAGAGCUGUGGGGAGACGGGGUCACCUUGGCGCAGUCCACGGCGGUGCCAAAUCGCUGGUCCGGGGUUGCCGUUGAGGAGAACCUUGGUGCUGGCCGACGACAGGAGAAGGGCGAUCCAACCAAGGAAGCGGUUGCCGAAGCCAUGGCAUCGCAGCACCUCGAAUAGGAAGGGCCACGAGACGGAGUCGAAAGCCCGUGCUAAGUCAAGCUUCAGCAGCACUCGAGGGGCACCCAGCUGAUGCAAUAGCCGUGCGGAUUGACGCACUAGGAUGAAGUUGUCGUGAAGACUUCGCCCGGGGAUGAACGCGUUUUGGACGUUGCUGACGAGGUUGUUGAGCCUGGGGGCUAGGCGGAUCGAAAGCAGCUUGGCCAGGACCUUGGCGACGAUGUGAAUUAGGCUUAUGGGCCUAUAAUCCCCCAGGCCAGUGGCCUCGGCGCGCUUGGGGAGGAGCGUGAUCAGCGCCUGGUUAAGGCAGCUAAACCCUCGUCCACGCAGCGCGUAAAUCUGGUCGAAGACGCAUCGGAGGUCAUGCUUGAUGAUCUGCCAGCAGGAUCGGAGGAACUCCGCAGUGAAGCCGUCGAGGCCGGGCGCCUUGCGGGACGGCAUGCUUUUGAUGGCCUGCCAAAUCUCAUCCUCGCUGAAUGGCGCAUCAAGAUCUUCCAGGUUUGAGGGCUCGAUGAAUUGCGACAGGUUAAUAGUGCAGUCACGCUGCAUGUCUGUCCUAAUUCGGCUGUCAAAGUGCUCGAAAGUGGCCGCGGCCAGCUUAGUAGCUUGCAUGUGCCCAUAUGGAUAUGAUCAUGGAUACGAUACAUGUGGAUCGGAGUUGUUAGACCUAGGUGAUUUUGUUGUUCCCCCCAAAGAAUGUUAUCAGUACAAAAUGACCAUAGGAGGAUGAUUUGGAUUAAUUCAAAGAGAUGGCGAUUUUGAUGGUAUGUGAUAACCUUGUGUGAGUUGUGCCAUGUGGGCCUCUUAAUAGUUGGUCUCAGAGAAAUGGUGUUUAAGUGCGUUAUGGUGAACUUUUACCCUCACACCCGAACCCUAUGCACCUUAAGUCUCACCAAUCCAUGACUUGGUCGAAUCGCGACGACAGAGUUGUAUGUGAAGGAUGUGGCCGUUGACCUAAUCCUUGCCCACCUAGCUAUUUGAUGAACAUCAUGAAUAACAUGUUUGUGAGUUCUUCGACAAGUUUCUCGUCAUCAUUGGUGACCUCUUUGUCUAUACCCCCUCGGAGGAAAAUCAUUAGCAACACCUAAGAAAGAUUUUUAUGUGGUUUUAGUUUGGUGAUUGUGAUAUUGAGGAGAUAGUCAAGGAUAUUAUGAGAUUUUAUGUUUAGUAAGUGAGCAUGUGAUUAUUAUGUUGGUGGAUAAACACAUUUUUAAUUAAUCUUGGAACAAUUUCUAUUUAGUUAGGUGAUUGUGAUCUUGAAUCGAAUUUCAUGGUGAAUUUUGAGAUUUUGGUUGAAUAUACUUUGAUGAUUGUGAUCUUGAGAUAGUCAAAGAUUUUUUCGGUGGAUAUGAGAUUUUAGGUCUAGUAGGUGACCGUGGUGAUUAUUAGAUUGGUGGAUAAACAUAUAUUUGAUUAAUCUUACAACAAUUUCUUAGUUAGGCAACUAUGGUUGAAUAUACUUUGGUGAUUGUGAUCUUGAGGAAACAGUCAAUGUUUUUGGUGCAUUAUGAGUUUUUAGGUAUAGUCGGUGACCGUGGUGAUUAUUAGUUUGGUGGAUACACAUAUAUUUAAUUAAUCUUACAUUGAUCUGUUAGUGAUGUGAAUAUGAUUUUGAACCAAAUUUCACGAUGGAUUAUGUGAUUUUUGGUGGAUCUAGUUAGGUGAUUGUCUCCUUGAAAAGAUACUUCAAGAUGUUCGAUGGAUUAUGAGAUUUUUGGUCUAAUUAGUGAGCAUAGUGAUUAUUAUAUUGGUGGAUAAACAAAUCUUCGAUCAAUUUUAAACAAUUUGGAUUUAGCUAGGUGAUUGUGAUCUUUUAACAAAAUUUCAUAGUGGAUUAUGAGAUUUUAGAUGGAUUUAGCUAGGUGAUUGUGAUGUUGAGAAAGAUUGUCAAUGAUGUUCGGUGGAUUAUAAGAUUUUAGGUCUAAUAGGUGAGCAUCAUGAUUAUUACAUUGGUGGAUAAACAAAUCUUUAAUUAAGUGGAACAAUUUGGAUUUAGUUUGGUGAUUAUGAUUUUGAAUCAAAUUUCUCGGUGGAUUAUGAUAUUUAUGUGGAUUUAGUCUGGUUAUUGGGAUCUUGAGGAGAUGGUCAAAGAUGAGUAGUGGAUGUUGAUUUUUAUGUCUAGUACGUGAGCAUGGUGAUUAUUAGAUUGGUGAAUAAACAUUUCUUUAAUUGAUCUUUCACUAAUUUGGGUAGCUGUGAUCUUGAACCACUCAAGAUGAAUGUCACCCUACAGAGCGAUAUAGGUUGAAUGUUCAUGAGAUACCUGGUUGUGUAAAAAGUGGUCUCUUGUUACCAAAGGAAUCGGUAGCAAAACCCAUCGAUGGAGAACCAAAAGAAGCAGCCAUUAGACACUAAACUCGUGUAAUCUUCUGUGUGGUUAGGGGCUCAUUUGAAGAGGUUGACAAAGAAGUACUAGACGGUGAAACUAGAAUGAGUGGGCGUUGAAGUUGUGCAAUUUUCGUUCCUUGUUGAUCCGGCUUGGCGUCCUUCCCUUGUAUGCGGGUUAUGUGUCACGGGCUUGACGUAGGAUCCUACGUUCCCUUGUUGGGGGUCGUUGGCCCGGGCGACAGGUAGCGUCAUGCUCACAUCUUGUGUGUUAGACAUUGCGGUGCCGACUGCCUUUGCUCCUGCAUCGCCGAUAGGUGGUGCUUGGGCGUUCGGCUAUGGCGGCGCCCAUCAAGGAAACACGGGUUGUGGGAUCGAGGCAGCACACAAAGCAACCCGUAGCCAGGCAAAGGAUGUCCAAUCGGACUGGAAUGGAGCGGAGAGUGCAUGAGGGGUGUGGUGAAAGGGGUCAAAAGAAUGACGACAAGGGAAGCGAGGAAGGCAGCUGCGAUGGUGAUCAGUUGUGGGCAGAUCCAAUUUUUGCACGUGGAUCUACUACUCAGGAUAGCAUGACAUGGUUGUUGUGGAGUGAGGUGCCACAAAUAUUGUGUUGUUUGGAUGAGUUUGGAGAGAUAGAAGUUGGUUGUGCUCUAGUCUACGCCUUCAACUGUACUAAGUGCAACUUAUUCCAAGUUUCUGUGCUCUCAAGCUUAAGCCUUUCUUUCUUUGAACCAGUCGUAAGCCCAAGAAACUGAGCCUAGCUAUUAAAGUUCUGAUAACAUGGACUUAUAUUGAUGUGCUUAAUUUACGGAAUUAUGAGAGCACCGCAUAAGAACGAAUAACUUUUGCGGCGAAUAAAGGCAAACUUUAGAUUGUGAUUGUGAGUCAAUCAUGUUACAUCCUUAAGCCCCAACAAGCACCAAGUUGGCUGGUGCCAUACGGAAGUUGUUUUGAGUAUUUAUGAUUGGAAGAUGAGAUAAUCUGAUGGUGUUGUAGAAAUGAUAUUCUGGAGAUAGUUAAAGAUGUUCGGUGGAUUAUGAGAACUUAGGUAUAGUUGAGCAUCGCGAUUAUUAUAUUGGUGUAUAAACAGAUCUUUAAUUAUUCUUGGAAUAAUUUGGAUUUAGUUAGGUGAUUGUGAUCUUGAACCAAAUUUUACGGUGGAUAAAUAACUUCAGUAGUACAUAUAUAGAUCCAUAGUCGGUCCAUUUAACUUGUGGUUUAUAUUGGAUUUAGAUAGCCACGAAAUUUGAGUUUACUUCAAUCAUGGUUAUGAUGUUGGUGGGUUGCUUUGUGUUAAGUUCGCACCUUUGGAGAUUUAAGUUGAAGAAAUAUAGGAUGUAGUAUGAACAACAUUAUAUAUACCGAAUUUAUAUAGGUUAGAUGAUAGUUAGCACCAUCAAUCAUGAUUAUGAAAAUUUGUGGAUUAUUAAAUCUUCUGUGAUUGGAUUAGUAGUAUAAGGAAACAAGGAUCUUGGAGUAACACAACUUGUGUCUCCUUUAGGUCGGAGUGAGAGUUAGCUGCAUCAAUCAUGAUUACGAAAAUUGGUGGAUUAUUGGAGCGCGUGGGAUUGAGGUAGUUACUUGGAUUUUAGGACUAAGAUAACUUUGGGGCACUCAGAUUUCUGAUGUUUUGAUAUAAGCUUAGUAGCUUGCAUGUGCCCAUAUGGAUAUGAUCAUGGAUACGAN